CCUACGGGUGGCAGCAGUGGGGAAUAUUGGUCAAUGGGCGAAAGCCUGAACCAGCCAAGCAGCGUGAAGGAUGACUGCCCUAUGGGUUGUAACCUUCUUUUAUAUGGGAGAAAAACGUUCCAUGUGUGGGAUUUUGUAUGUACCAUAUGAAUAAGGAUCGGCUAACGCCGUGCCAGCAGCCGCGGUAAUACGGAGGAUCCGAGCGUUAACCGGAUUUAUUGGGUUUAAAGGGAGCGUAGGUGGAUUGUUAAGUCAGUUGUGAAAGCUUGGGGCUUAACCGUAAAAAUGCAGUUGAAACUGGCAGUCUUGAGUACAGUAGAGGUGGGCGGAAUUCGUGGUGUAGCGGUGAAAUGCGUAGAUAUCACGAAGAACACCGAUUGCGAAGGCAGUUCACUGGAAUGCAACUGACACUGAGGCACGAAAGCGUGGGUAGCAAACAGGAUUAGAUACCCUAGUAGUC
This 460-nucleotide ribosomal RNA is filed under the name uncultured bacterium. Its description in RNAcentral is "partial 16S ribosomal RNA". It matches the Rfam family "Bacterial small subunit ribosomal RNA", at positions 338 to 795 of the family's 1533-position model. The record is from RNAcentral.